Molecule: ribosomal RNA, 492 nt
Filed under: uncultured bacterium
Lineage: Bacteria
Description: partial 16S ribosomal RNA
Rfam family: Bacterial small subunit ribosomal RNA
Source: RNAcentral
AGUGAACGCUGGCGGUAGGCCUAACACAUGCAAGUCGAACGGCAGCACAGUAAGAGCUUGCUCUUACGGGUGGCGAGUGGCGGACGGGUGAGGAAUACAUCGGAAUCUACUUUUUCGUGGGGGAUAACGUAGGGAAACUUACGCUAAUACCGCAUACGACCUACGGGUGAAAGCAGGGGAUCUUCGGACCUUGCGCGAUUGAAUGAGCCGAUGUCGGAUUAGCUAGUUGGCGGGGUAAAGGCCCACCAAGGCGACGAUACGUAGCUGGUCUGAGAGGAUGAUCAGCCACACUGGAGCUGAGACACGGUCCAGCCUCCUACGGGAGGCAGCAGUGGCGAAUAUUGGACAAUGGGCGCAAGCCUGAUCCAGCCAUACCGCGUGGGUGAAGAAGGCCUUCGGGUUGUAAAGCCCCUUUGUUGGGAAAGAAAAGCAGCAGGUUAAUACCCCGCUGUUCUGACGGUACCCAAAGAAUAAGCACCGGCUAACUUCGUG